AAACAAGAUAAGCAGGCCAUCAAGUGUAUGGUGGUGGGAGAUGGAGCUGUAGGUAAAACUUGCCUAUUGAUCAGUUAUGCAACAUUGCAUUUCCUGGAGAGUAUAUCCCCACUGUUUUUUGACAACUAUUCUGCCAAUGUUAUGGUAGAUGGGAAACCAGUGAAUCUGGGCUUAUGGGAUACAGCUGGACAAGAAGAUUAUGACAGAUUGCGUCCCCUCUCCUAUCCACAAACAGAUGUUUUCAUCAUUUGAAAAUGUCUGUGCAAAGUGGUAUCCGGAAGUGCGACACCAUUGUCCCAACACUCCUAUCAUCCUAGUGGGAACUAAACUUGAUCUUAGGGAUGAUAAAGACACAAUUGAGGAACUGAAGGAGAAGAAGCUGACUCCCAUCACCUAUCCACAAGAGUUAGUCAUGGCUAAGGAGAUUGGUGCUGUAAAAUACCUGGAGUGUUCAGCACUCCCACAGCGAGGCCUCAAGACUGUUUGAUGAAGCUAUCCGAGCAGUUCUCUGCCCACCUCCUGUCAAGAAGAGGAAGAGAAAAUGCCUGCUGCUGUAAAUGUCCAAGUCCCUCGUUCUUGAUCCUGCCCCUUGGAACCUUUGUAUGCUUUGCUCAAUAACAGU
Molecule: non-coding RNA, 622 nt
Organism: Marmota flaviventris (yellow-bellied marmot)
Lineage: Eukaryota; Metazoa; Chordata; Mammalia; Rodentia; Sciuridae
Source: RefSeq, a predicted model, not a curated record